RNAcentral lists this ribosomal RNA (429 nucleotides) under Fusobacteriota bacterium. Its description in RNAcentral is "Fusobacteria bacterium partial 16S ribosomal RNA". It matches the Rfam family "Bacterial small subunit ribosomal RNA", at positions 355 to 776 of the family's 1533-position model. The record is from RNAcentral. Lineage: Bacteria; Fusobacteriati; Fusobacteriota.
UGGGGAAUAUUGCGCAAUGGGCGAAAGCCUGACGCAGCGACGCCGCGUGAGGGAUGAAGGUUUUCGGAUCGUAAACCUCUGUCAGAAGGGAAGAAACCGCACUGUGCUAAUCAGCAGUGCCUUGACGGUACCUUCAAAGGAAGCACCGGCUAACUCCGUGCCAGCCGCCGCGGUAAUACGGAGGGUGCAAGCGUUAAUCGGAAUUACUGGGCGUAAAGCGCACGUAGGCUGCUUUGUAAGUCAGGGGUGAAAUCCCACGGCUCAACCGUGGAACUGCCUUUGAUACUGCUUAGCUUGAAUCCGGGAGAGGGUGGCGGAAUUCCAGGUGUAGGAGUGAAAUCCGUAGAUAUCUGGAGGAACAUCAGUGGCGAAGGCGGCCACCUGGACCGGUAUUGACGCUGAGGUGCGAAAGCGUGGGGAGGAAACAGG